CCCUUCUUCCUUGCUAAUUUCAAUUGUCAUAAUUAAUUUUUAAACCUGUUAUCAACUUAAAGCAGUAUAAGAGAUAUUUUAGGUUCCUUACAUAUUCUCCAUUUGCCUUGCAAAAAACUAGAGUGUCAUCAGUAUACUAUAAAUAUGUGAUCUUUUCCAUCAUGUCUUCCUCAUCGAUGCCUUUUAUGAUAUCAUUUGAAGCUGCUCCUACCAUCAUCCUGGGCA
This 225-nucleotide long non-coding RNA is filed under the name Elaeis guineensis (African oil palm). Its description in RNAcentral is "long non-coding RNA (EGUI_LNC020985)". The record is from RNAcentral. Lineage: Eukaryota; Viridiplantae; Streptophyta; Magnoliopsida; Arecales; Arecaceae.